CCUCAGCAAUGGAGGUACACCUUGACGUGGUGCUGGGGCUUUUGCCAAGAUGCCU
Molecule: non-coding RNA, 55 nt
Filed under: Branchiostoma floridae (Florida lancelet)
Lineage: Eukaryota; Metazoa; Chordata; Leptocardii; Amphioxiformes; Branchiostomatidae
Source: RNAcentral